This 312-nucleotide long non-coding RNA is filed under the name Gossypium barbadense (sea-island cotton). Its description in RNAcentral is "long non-coding RNA (GBAR_LNC005446)". The record is from RNAcentral. Lineage: Eukaryota; Viridiplantae; Streptophyta; Magnoliopsida; Malvales; Malvaceae.
CAGAAUUUGGCACAUGAGCAGAGACACUAGUGUGUGUCUCAGUCACGUGGUUUACACGGCCUUGGACACAGGCGUGUUACACAGCCGUGUGAAAACUGCACCUAAAUUUCGAAAAUUAAAUUCGCCACAUGGCCUAGCACAUGGGCGUGUAAUUGGCCAUGUGACUUCAAUUUCUUCAUGCCUUAAAAGUCAGAUAGUUACACGGGUUAAGGACACGGACGUGUGUAGUACGCGGCUUGACCACACGGGCGUGUGAGCCCUGCAACUUUCGAAAAUUUUUAAAAUGUCACGAAAUAUUCUUAGAGUUCUCAA